RNAcentral lists this long non-coding RNA (3674 nucleotides) under Sus scrofa (pig). Its description in RNAcentral is "lncRNA (ENSSSCG00060026062.1)". The record is from RNAcentral. Lineage: Eukaryota; Metazoa; Chordata; Mammalia; Artiodactyla; Suidae.
GUGAGAAGAGGUAAUUUUGCAAAUUAGCCCAAGAACCCUGAAUGAGUUAACCCCUGUGAAGCAGGAGUACGUCUCGCUCCACCACCAAAGGUUUAGGCCUGCACGUUCCAGACCCUUCUGCUGCCUUCUCCCUCUGGGCCUGUUCACGUCACUCCAGCUCUUCUCCAAGGAGCCGGCUGGGUCUGGCCAGAGACGCUGCCAGCUCCACGGAGCCAUCAGCCUUCAGAGCAGCACCUUGGGCCAGGAAACACGGACAGGGGGAGUUCUGUGUGCGACUAAUGGACCCCAGAUAGAGCCACUCUUCAGUCACUGCCGUCACUUGAAAAUGCAUUUCCAGUUGACAAUAGCCGUCUGCCUAUAGAUAGCUCCACGCAGAGAUGGCUGGUCAGGCUGCUCUCCCAGAUGCCUGGGUCAGCAAUUUCCAAAGCAUCCAGUCAGCAGUUCCUGCUUCCUCCAGCAAAGUAUGGCUCUCUCCUCCCAUCUCCCAGUCCCAGGACAGGGUCCGGGCCUAGAGGGGACAGUGGCCGCCCCAAUCCGUUGCCAACAGCAGGCCCCUCUCUCUGCGCUGCCUCCAGGCCCCCAGCAGCAUCCACUUUUUAAAGGUGCCACCCGUGCCACCAGGAAGUCUCGUGUUCAGAAGUGUUCCCCAGACACGACGGGCCCCAGUCACAGUGCCUGGUCACCUGCAGGAGGCGCACCUGUGCUGCCCAGAUGCCGACAAAGCCCAGAGCGAGCAGGCAACUCCCCGCAGGACUCAGUGAACCAGGUUUGAACCCAGGUCGGCUGAUUUAUGCCCAUGUGUGUCUAUGCUGUUUAUAUGCGGGUACACGCGUGCAUAUGGCUGUGUGCACAUAUAGGUGCACACAUAACUACGAGUGUUUGUGCGUCUGUGAGUGUAUGUAGGCAUAUGCACACAUGUACCUGUACACGCCUGUGUGUUCACGUGUGCGUAUGUGUGGGUCUGUGUGCAGAUGCGUAAGUAUAUGGGUGUGUCUUUAUAUGUACUUCCCCGUUCGUGUCCGUAGCUGAGCUGUGAUAUCCACAGCAGCAGGAGGCAGGUGUUCCAUGGCUGUGUCCCCUGAAGCUGUUCUCCAAGGUCCCCUUGGCUACUGCCUGCUGGCCUCACUUCUCAGGCUCCCUCCCACCCUCCCCUGGGCCCCAGCCUGUGGCUUCCAUCCCUCAGCUCUGCUGCUGCCCAGGUCCCAGUUUCUGCAAAGGCCACCGGGACCUCCAGAUGCUCCCCUGGCCACGUCAGGCGACUGCAGGGGAACAGGAUGGUCCAGGCCCUAAGCAGAGGCCUAGAAACAGAUGCUCCAGCCAUGGCGCUCGGUGUGAGGAACGAAGGUUCUUGGAAGGAAGUGAAAUCCCCUCUCACUUAACAGCCUAAUAAGUAUUUGAACCUGAGUCAGUGAGGACUUGUCAGUUGUAGUGUUUUCUCAGAUGCGAAGGACACAUCUCAGCUUUCAAGCCCACGGGGGAGGGACGUGACCAGCUGGAGAAGGGCGGGUGGAGGCCUCUGGCACGGGCUCCGCCUGGCCUGAGCAUCCCGAGAGGCCCCGGGAAACUGUGCAGGGCCUCGCUAGACGUGGGGCUGGCGGCAGAGCGGAUGUGCAGGUGAGAGUCGGGGCAGCCUCCCACGGAGACCGUGGGGAAAUGAAGUCAGCGAGGCAUGGCCAGAAGCCAGCUUGAAGACGGUUCCAGAUGCCUGGGCCCCCUGAUCCACGUGGAAGGAGGGGCCGGCGGAAUGAGAGGGUCAGGAAAUUCGUCACCAGAUCCAUGCUCCGUGACUAGCUUGCAAAAGGUCAGGUUGAGCCAUUCAGGCCAUCUCAGGUUCUCUGCAGCUGUGCCCCCUCCCACUGUCUCCUUUCUGGUUCUUUAGCACGGGGGCACAUCUGCCCCCAGGCUCAGCCCAGCUGCCCCCUGCCUGGGAAGCCCUGCCGGCCCCCUGGCUGGCAGCUCCUGGUCAUCCAGUCCCAGCCUGCCUUCCCGGACCACCUCCCUUGAGCUGCCCUCAAAUCCGGCCUGACACCCUCCUUCCCUAAUCGGUUUUGUGUCCCUCGCCUGGCAUGAUCCCUCUUGAGCUCCUUGCUGGUUAUUCUCUUUCUCUCCUUGGAACAUGAGCUUCUCUGGCAGUCACGUGCCUAUUGUGUGCUGACCGUGUGGCAUUUCCAGAGCCUGGACAAGGACCAGCACGCAGUGGAGGCUCCAUAAAUGCUUGUUGAAUGAGGAGUGAUUAGCCACAUCAACAGGACUGGCCUCGUGGAAUCAUUUAAUGACAGCAUCAGGCUAUCACAGCUUGUAGCCCGCGCCUUGAAGCACCUGCAGAAACAUUCUCUGCGCUCAAGGAGCAGAGGGAACCGCCAGCCCUCUCUGCAAGGGCCGGCUUGUAGGAGCAAGCGGGAGCCUGGGGGUCCUUGGUGCCAGCCACAAAGCCAGUGCUGGGUUUGUUUAGAAUCGCGCUCAGAAUGAAGGACGGCUCUUAAGCUGGAGAUCUCUUAAUACAACAAGCAAACACCACAGAUUUUUCCAAGGCUGCUGCCACCAGGCGGGCGGGGCGCAGGCUCCCUUUCUUGGCUUGCUUCUGCCAUCUGCUGGCCAUGCAUUGAAAUGCAUUGAAAGGGGGUUUAUUGUCCAGUCUCUUGCAUGCUUCUGCUUCCUUCUGGGAUGAUCGAUCUCCUUGCCAAUUUUAUUCCCCACCCCACCCCCUUGGCAGGAGCUGCCUAGAUGACCCAUCCCUUGAGUCGGGCAGACUCUAGGCCCCAGGUGGGCUGGAGAAAGUCACCUGGCCCUGCAUCCUGUGACUUUCCCUCAUUUUUACAUACAGUAACUCUGUUAACACUCAGGAUCAAACCUACUGAGCAAGGACAUUUUUUACAGAGAGGGCGUGAAGGCGCAGAGAGGUCACGUGAACUGCUCAGAGUUGCAUAGCACAGGCGGUGGAGCCAAGCAGUAAGGCAUCUGAGGGCACAUUCUAUCAACAACCAUCACGGCCCAGGUCCCUCCGCUCCAGGGCCCCACUGGAGCGCUGAGAAAAGCUGGAUGUGUACAGAGUGGAGGAUGGAGGAGAGGAGCCCUGCAGCCCAUGCUCUCAGAGGUCUAGAGGAGCCUCCGUAUUUGGAGCCUUCCUCUUCAGACCUAGAAAACGGGAGCAUUGGACUACAGGCUUUCCAUGUUCCAUGCAGGUUCUGGACAGGACAGAGGUACAGAGGUCAGCACAGGCUCUUUGGGCAGAGAGACCCAGCCAAGGUAAAGACCAGACACUUCCCCCCACUAUAACUCUGUGAAUAGGAGGGAAGGUGUUGUGAUCUCCAAGCCUCGCUCUUGAGGAAGAUAAAAUGAGGUCAAGUGCAAAGCUUUUUGCGCUGUGAUGCUCAGAGAAAGUGCUUAAUAAAUAUCGCCAGUUGUUAUAAUGACAUUAAAGGCUCUGAGAAGUCCUGCAGGAAGUACCCUGCUCAAUUUCAGCUCAGCCUCUCCCUAUCCUAGCUGCCUACAGCACCACCGCAGAGCCCUGUGAGAUCCAUUGUCCCACAGAAUCCGUUUGCCCUCAUUGGUUUAAACCGCUUCCCAGAGCGACGAGGGCCUCAAUUCCCACCAAGAGUAGAAUCAGAGCAGGAGCUCUGUGCUCUGAGCUCUGUACUCUUUCUUGCUUUCACCACUUCUCUGUAUCCCAAAGC